Macaca mulatta (Rhesus monkey) is the source of this 8223-nucleotide non-coding RNA. The record is from RefSeq and is a predicted model, not a curated record. NCBI's taxonomy places the organism in Eukaryota, Metazoa, Chordata, Mammalia, Primates, Cercopithecidae.
CCCAGCAUGAGGACGGGCACAAACAUUCCAAUGGGGGUGCUCUGGUGACCUGCCCAGGGAAGGGGCAGGGGCAGGGGUGGGGAGAGCGAACGCCCACCCUGUGGCUGGACAGAGCCAAGGGAGGCCCUGCUGUGAUGCUGGAGGAGUGCUCCCCUGGGCUUGCUCACACCUCCUUCACCAUGCUCCUUCCAGAGUCAGAGGGGUGGGACGGGAUAAGAUGAGAAAUGGACUGGGAAACUGACCCUGGACAGCUGCAGAGACGCCCUCCUGCAGCCCACAGAGCAGGCUUCUGUGUAUUCCUAAACACCCAUGCGUACUUUGCGGAGUGGACUAUGCCAGAUUCAGACACGAGAAAGAAAAGAGAAGCAUGGUAACAGGUGCAUGAGAUCAGCAAGGAGAGGCUCAGGCCUACUGGGCACAUACUGUAUGCCAGGCACCAUGCCCAGCGCCCAGGAGCCACCUGUCUAAUGCUCCCGCCAUUCGAGCAGUAAGGACUGUCACUGUAUCUACUUCUCAGGGGGAACACUGAGGCUCCAUCGGGUUAGACCUUUGCCCAGGCCCCAUGGGACACCCACAGCCUCUGUCCAGCCAACUGAGCAGCUAUUCAUGGGGCCGGGGCGGUUCUCCUAGGAGAGCAGCCUACACUACAGGCCCAUGAGCAAAGGUUGCCCAGAACAGGGCAUCUGAAAGGGGCCUGGGGGCCUGAGGGCACGAGUGUGUGAAGAAGCGGGAAGGGAGCUCCAUGAGAGGGAAUAGCAUUAUGGCGGGGCUCAGAGACAAGGGCUAGGCCAGGUGCGCCUGGAACUGGCUGCACGGGCGCGUACGGUGUGCUGAGUUCUGGCUGGGGAGCAGGAGGAGGAGGAGGAGGAGGAGGAGGAGGAGGAGGAGCAGAGGGCUGGGUCUGGCGAACUGAAGGCUGAGUUCAGGAGUUCAGUGUUCUGAUCCUGGGGGCGAUAGGGAGCCACUGAAGGUUAGGGCCAGGGAGUAACAGGACUGGAGUUGUAGCUCCCAGGAUCCCCUGAAUGCUGAGAGAAUGGACGGAGGGGCCAGAGGGACAUGGGAGGCCAGUGGAGAGAUUCCUUCCAUAGCCAAGAGAGAUGUGGUGGCUUGGCUGGAGGUGGUUUUGGAACUGGGGAGAAUGGGUGAGUGGAGGAUUCUACAAGUGGGUUUUGAUGGGACCCUCCCCAAGGAGGCUUCACCAGAAGCAGAGAAGAUCUUCCUGAAUCCCAAGGGAAGAUGUGGGGACCCUACCCUGCUGCUGGGGUGCCAGGAGGGGCCCUGUUGCGUUUCUCAUUGCUCUGAGGGCUCCUGCCUCCUCUUUGGGGAGACAGGCUCUUCCCGUUUCACCAAGGAGCAGCUGGAAGCCCUCAGAGCAAUGAGAAGGGCAAGGAGGACACGGGAGCUGUGCUGGGCCUUGCCAUCCCCUACCAAGGGAGGACAAGCAAGCUGGCGGGGAAGGAGUGGGCCAGCUGGGAGGCCCCUCUGGAUGUGCGGGCUGGGAUUGAGGUUCGGGGUUUGGGUGGAGGCAGAAAGGUGGUUCUGUCUGGACGUUGACAGUCAGCAGAGGAGGUGGGGGGGGAGCUUGUCACUUCCAGACCCAUCCUGCAGCCCCUCAUCUCAGGAAGAAAGUCUCUGGAUGGUCUAUGACACCUCCAGCCCUGGCCUUAGAUAUCCCCUGUCCGAAACUGGAAUCAGCCAGAAAAUCAAUGCUUAAUCUGGUGACUUCAAGAGGAACAUCGGCCACCACCUCGGAACCUGGACCCGGACCUGCGUUUUCGUAAAUACCCCGGCUUGGAGUGAAGUCCUUGUUCAAAGUCCCCCACUGGUUAGUGGGAUUCAAACCCCAGCUGAGGUCCAGAGAUCGUGCACUUGGUUCUGCGUGGGGGUGAGUGGCAGCCAAGGAAGUGGGUUCAGAGGCCAUGGGGCUUACCAGGCACCUUGAUCUUACUGGGCCCAACUGUGGCCCCCAGGGAAUCUGAGAUGCAUCCUGGCUGCCAUGGCCCCGGUCCAGGAAUCACAGUGGGCUGGGGUGAUGGGACCAGCCUGCCUGGGCACAGGGGCCAGAGAAAGGAAGGGAAAAGAUGGCAUCCAGGGGCCUCCAGCUAAGGGCACAAAGGUGAAGAGGACACCGGGCCUUGGGGAGCUCAUGGUGCUGUGGGAGGACAAGCGGAAUGAGGGAUCCCCAUGACAAAAGCAGACACCCAGGCUCGGAGGGUCGCUCGCAGGCCGGUGGCAGAGCAGGGACGCGAAGCAGGGGGAGCCUGCUGCAGCCGCCACCUCUCUGGGUGGGAGUGUGCUUCACUCGGGGCUUGCUCUCUGUGUGAGGCUGACUUUUUCUUGUCCAACAAACACUUACUUGCUGUGUGUCAGGACUGUCCAAGCGCGACGAGUGUCCACUCCCUAAAACUCCCACAAUAACCCUGAGGUCAGUGCUGAUGGGAAACCAGGCACAGGGUGGGUGGGCACUUGCCCGGAGCCAGGCAGCCUGGGAGAGGGCUCAGCUACCCAGACAGCUCCAGGGCAGAGCACAUGCCCCGGAACAAGGAGGACCAGGAGGCCUCGAUUUACCCUUCAGCCCGGGUCCCACAAAGGGCUAAGGUCAGGAACUGCCCCUUCUCUGUCCUUAAUCUCACGCUAGGACCUGGGCCAAGUAAGAGGUGAGUCCUCAAGGCUGCCAGCCACAGCCUGUGUCGGAGCCUCCUGGGGAGGGGCUGCUGAACCCCUGGUCACACCCGACUUCCCCGCACAGUGCCUGGGGCCGGGGCCUUGGAGCUGUGAUUUGCAUCCAGUCCCUUGGCGGAUGUCAGCUGCCACUCACACUGGGGUCUGAGUACAGGCCUGGCCCCCGAAAUGGUGCUGCUCAUUUGAGAAGACACAAGCGUCUCAAGCAGAACACAACGGGCCCAUAAGAUGUGGGAUAGAGUUUACAGGACACAGAGAGAAACUCCGCCUCAGAGAAAGGCCCGGGAGGGCUACAGGGUGGAGGAGGAGGGCAAAGGGCCAAGUGAAGAGGCAGGACGUCCAGGCGGAAGGCACUGCCCAAACAGAGGCCCGGAAGCUGGAGAGGGGUGUUCCUGGCUGCAGUAAUUAGACCCCGGGAGCGAAUGAGGAAGAAGAUGUAAGAGAAGGAAGGUGGGUGGGUCGGGCCGGACCCCGAAAGGCCCCGAGGGACAGGUUAAUCGGCCAGGUUUCCAGACGCACUGGGCAUCAGGGUCACCUGCGGGAGUUCAUUCCCUCACUCAUUCAAGAGGUGCAUACUGAGUGCUACUGUGGGCCAGACAUAUAGUUCUCAGCCCUGGGGGGCCCGGGGGGAGCUGAUGGAUGAGACCUCUACCCUGGUGGAGACAGAAGCGUCAUCAGAGGACAGAGACUGUAAUUAAAGAAACAGCAUAUAAAAUAACGGCAGAUCCCUCCGGGUGCUCAGAGGCAAAUAGACCAGGACACAGUAGAGAGCGUCUGAGCUGGGAGAGGGGCCAUUUGAAACGAGUCCCCGAGAUGAGCCAGAGGAGAAAUCUGGAAGUGGGUGGGAAGCCCCCAGAACAGAUGGACGCUGGCAGCCCCUGUAGGGACUAGACACAAAGCCGCUGAAGGAUGCAUCGAGGCCAUCACCUCUGGGCAGAUGGUCAUGCGCAAGGCAUCACCUGUGCUCUGCAGAUGAAUGGCUUGACUUGGGAUUUGAGGGUCUGCAGAGAUGGGAUGGAUGUAGGGGGUCUCAGAAUCAGAAACUCUGACCCUGGGUGAGACCUCGGGGACCAGCCCCUGGCCCAGGGGUCCUCAACCAAAUUGAGGCAGAGGGCUGCAUCCAUGCCCCCGCGCCCUCCUGCCCUGGAAUUCAACCGCGGGCUUUGUUUGCAAAAGCAGAUCAGGGGCGCCACCUGGUGGCUAGAGCUGAGACCGUGGCCGCUUCAGCCCAGGCCGGGGUCCAGGGUGGCCAGGGCUCAGGAGGCCGGUCCCCUUAGGUCACUUCUGAUUUUGUAGAUGUUUGUGGUUACACAAUUAAUAUGUGUACCUUGCAGAUACAGUAGAAAACCCAGAUAAAGCUGAAAGAAAGCAACCACCUGGAAUUUCGCACCCAGAACAAACCCUUCUUCACGUGUGCACGGAUUUCUUUCUAGGCUUUUCUUUAUCCAUCCAGGCAUUUUCAUACAAAAAGUGAAUCAUACCCCACGGAGAGUCUGUAACCUGCCAAGCUGUUUCCCACUCACCGCUAGAUCGUGGCUCUCCUUCGUGCCAAUAAAUCUGCUUUUACAACAUCAUUCCUGUAGCUGUGCACGCCCUUUGGGUGUGGCCAGAAAAGUGAUUGAGGCUGACUGAGCCCCUGUAGGUUGGAUUUCUUUGGAGCAAGGUGAGUUUUCUGGAGUUUUUUCACUUUGUUUUUGACUCCCUUGGGGAAGAUAGGAACUUUAAAGCCCUCAUUUCUCUGGUGCAGAAUGGGUUUUGACAAAUCCACAUUUAGGGGUAAACUUCAUGGUGUCAGGGUCCAACCCCUGCCGCCUCCCUGUGUCUGAAGCUGGGAGCAUUGGGGCACUUGCCACUCACGCUGUGAACUGCCCUGGGCCCCUCUGGUAGCCUGAGGGUUUACACCGCCUGAAGUGGACGCACAGGCAGAUCAUACGCCUCACAGGGCUGGUCUGUGUUCAACAGGUGGUCUUCGUAAAGCACUCCACGCGCGCUCAGCCUGUGGUCAGCCCUUGGUAACUGUCAGCUUUGUUACCAUUCAACGGACCACAGGGUGUGGGACAAGAGCACUGCGGCCCGCCAGGCCUGUGUUCUCGUCACUGGCUGUGGGAUGGGGGCCUGUUCUCGUCACCUGCUGAAGGGCUGGAAUGCCUCCUUGGGGGUCAUGGUGGGGCCUGACUUAGUGGGUACUGAGUUAGAUCACCCUUUGCUAUUCAUGAGGCUGUGGCUGUGCCAGGAACCGCAGGCGCUGUGACCACAUGUGGAAACGGAGGCACAGGAGGACUAGGUACUUGCCCAAGAUCACACAACUAGAAACUGGUUGGGCAAAACCUUGGGUCUGGGGUGGACCAAGUUUGUGUCUUUGGCCCUACGCUGUUGUGUAGACCUGGGAGGCAUCCACCCGCAUGGUGAGCCAGAGGGGCCUGUGGGCCGACUGUGAGCUCAAAUGGGCUCUCUCUUCAGGUCCUGCAAAUGAGGCGCCGCCCCACCUCCCUACGUCCCAGACAGGAGGGUUGAUGAUGUGGGUUUUCUUCCACACUUGGAGGUUGUCUGUACUCAUUUUGUGCUCUGGGUUUAAUCCUAGAGGGCCAUUCACUGGCUGUGUGACCUUGGGCAAGUAGCUUAACCUCUCUGUGCCUCCGCUUUUCUCCAUGUGAAACGGGGUAAAGAUUCCUUUCUUCGUGGAGUUGGUGGGGGGAUGAAGUGAGUGAGUGUCUGUGGGAGUCCAGAGAGCAUCAGCUCCUGCAGGGGUCCGGACUUCGAUGCCACAGGAGGGCUCGCAGGCAGGGUCCUUGGGAGUCAUGCAGGAGCUGGACUGGGGACUUGAGCGGGUACCCAGGUUGCAGGGGUGCUCCCCACGAUAGAAGAAAAUCAGCCUCUGAAGGGUGCUGGGUUUGUGCUCCUUCCCCCAAAUUUGGGGCACUGGCAUCAGCUGGAACGGAGGCCCCCCUCGGGGGAGGGCAGAGCAGGAACUUCACCUGGGGUCUGUGGACGGGCUGCAGACCUUGUGCACCACCCCGGAACCGUCGGGGAAACGCGUGUGUCUGGCUGCUUUGUGGGGAAGGAACAGGAGGGGUCACACCGGAUCCCCUACCCCGCCUGACUCCACCUCAGGCCUUGGAAGUUUCCGAGCCCAGCCUGGUGAGCGGCGGCCGGCGGCGUGCGGCCAGCAGGGGGCGCUCGGGCCAAGGCUGUGAAAGUGCCGAGCGCCUGCGAGGCCGGCUCCGCGCUCCUCCCCUCCAGGCCGCCCCUGCGCCGAGACCUGCGGAGGGCGCGGGCCGGGGCUGGCUCGGCCUUAAGUCUCCGGGAGCCCGAAUGGGGCCGCUGGGGCCACAGCUGGGGCAGCAGCCCACCAGUGCCCAGCUGGAAGCCGCCCCAGACAUCUCAGCCCGGGGCGGGUGUCACAGAGUGAGUUUUGACAAUUUCCCGGCCUAACCCCACCUGUACAGACGGCUGUCAAUCAAUCCCUGGGAGGGCCUAGGCUUCAGCCCCCAGGUCUGGGAACCACUGGGCAAGGACUCCCUUCAUCCUCAGCAUGAGCUCCGACCAGGCAGGGUCUGUCCCUAUUUCUGCCCAUUUUACAGAGUAGGAAACUGAGGCUCGGAGGUGGCGGGACUUGGCUGAGAUUACAGUCAGAUUACACACACAAAGGGCUGCGAUGCCAAGCCCCAUUAUUUUUUUUUUCCCAUUUAUUCUUUUAUAUUCGUGAUAUUAACAGCAGCAGCAGCAGCAGCGGCGCCUGUGACGGUAACUUCUCAGUCUGGGCCCUGCUGGCACUCUGAGCUGGAUGUCUGUGUGAGGGGCAUGGGGUGCGCUGCUCAUUGAAGGGCAUGGGGUACCCUGCACAUUGAAGCACGCUCAGCAGUGCGGGCUGCGUGAGGCUUCCGAGGACGAUGCCCGUGUUCUAAUCCCAGAACCUGGAACAUGUUACCUUACAUGGAGAAACAGACUUUGCAGGGGUGAUUAAGUUAAAGAUCGUGAGGUGGGGGUUCAUCCUGCAUUAUCAGGGUGGCCUUGAUGUCAUCACAGGGGUCCAUCUAAGAGGAAGGAGGAGGUGAGAGGGAAAGGCGGAGGUUCAGAGCCGGUAAGCCGGUGCUGGGGGCGGAGAGGAGUCACAAAAAUAGGGCGGGUCCAAGAUUUACCACCAGGAUCUCCCAGCCACGCAGUUCACCCCCCACGCCCCCGACCUGCAGGCACAGCUGGGAGGGCCAGGCCUGUCCCGAGCUCUGUAGCCAGGGGCGCCACACCCCCUCCCUCCCUGCCACCACCCCCGGACCCCCAACUGACACUCCCGCCUUCAGGGCUUUGCUGGCAUUGGCCCUGCUGGGCUGCUUCUCCAGCAGCUGGUGGCACUCAGCUGAUUGUGGCAAAGGUCACUGUGCCCCGGGGUGGGCAUGGGGGGGCAGGUGAACGAGACAUAGUGGGGGAGCUGACCAGCCAGGGGCUGGGUGGUGACAGCCAGGCCGCAGUGAUAUGUCCUAGGCAGCUUUUUCAGUAACAUGUUUAAGAGCACUGGCUUGCAAGCCUGCCUGAUGGCUAGGUUUGAAUCCUAUCUCUGUCCCGGGGCAGUAGUUCAACCUCCCUGAGUGGGCUGCCUGUGAAUCAUGCAGGGGUGGCUGCAUCGUGCUGCGUAUCCACAGCUGUCCAAGGAACCCGUUUCACAGGAGCUCUUGCAGAAGGAGGGAUUUCGUGGAAUGCAAAAUCCUGGUCCUGCUGGCCCCUCCCCAGCUGAGGCGGUGUGGCUGCCUGUGGGGAGGAACUCUUAGUGGCUGUAAAGUCUCGGUGUGGAGCCUGAAAAAGCUGAGUCUGUGGGAAGCCAUGCAGAGAGACGGCGGGACGGUGGGUCCUGAAUCACAUUGUUUGAGCUUCUGGAUGAGGCCUUACCUGAACUCUGAUAGUUUGCAAGAGUCAAUAAACACACUAAAAAAAAAAAAACACUCUUCUUGGUUUUGAGUCAAAAGUACCAAUAGAUCUGCAAUAUCCCACCUACAAUAUUUAACAGAUGCCUAAACAUACAGUCAUCCCCUGGUAUCCCCAGGGGAUUGGCUCCAGGACUCCCUGUGGAUACAAAAUCCAUGGAUGCUCAAGUCCCUGAUAUGAGAUGAUAUAGUAUUUGCAUGUAACCUAUGCACAUCCUCCUGUAUACUUUAAAUCAUCUCUAGAUUACUUAUAAUACCUAAAACAAUGUACAUGCUAUGUAAGUGGUUGUUAUACUGUAUCAUUUAGGGAAUAAUGACCAAAAAAGUCUACAUGUGUUUCGUACAGAUGCAGUCAUCUUGUUUUUCAGAUAUUUUCAAUCCUCAGAACCCACACAUACGUAACUGACUGUAUUUUUAAAAAUCUUAUCGGUUUCAUUUUUCCCACUUGAAACUUUAUUCCCACAUUCACUCAGCCUUCCAUUCCAGGCCACACCCAGUGGCUUCGUAGGUUUUCUGUGCAGUGUGAGGCUUCAGAUUCUCACAACUCCUCAGGCAGGGUUGUUGGGUUUUUUGUUUUGUUUUGUUUGUUUGAUUUUCUGUGUGGUCUUUCCUGGCAUGUCUCCUU